Molecule: transfer RNA, 72 nt
Filed under: Planctomycetaceae bacterium
Lineage: Bacteria; Pseudomonadati; Planctomycetota; Planctomycetia; Planctomycetales; Planctomycetaceae
Description: tRNA-Pro
Source: RNAcentral
CGGGGUGAAGGGCACCGGUCGCCCGCGUGUCUUGGGCACACGAGCCAGUCAGUUCGAUUCUGACCACCCCGA